Molecule: ribosomal RNA, 1208 nt
Filed under: metagenome
Description: SSU rRNA
Rfam family: Eukaryotic small subunit ribosomal RNA
Source: RNAcentral
GCCGCGGUAAUUCCAGCUCCAAUAGCGAAUAUUAAAUUUGUUGCAGUUAAAAAGCUCGUAGUUGGAUCCAAGGUUAGGCAUGCCUGUCUGUUCUUAGUAGCAUGACUGUGUGUGUCUGCCUUUAUUAGUUGAAUGUUCAUUAUGGUGGUCUUCAUCGACUGCUAUGAUGUGCUCAACACGUUUACCUUGAAAAAAUCAGAGCGAUCAAGGCAGGCCUUCGUGCUUGUAUGUUGUUGCAAGGAAUAAUAGAAUAGGACUUCGGUUCUAUUUUGUUGGUUUUGAGAAUUGAAGUAAUGAACAAUAGAGACAGUCGGGGGCAUUUGUAUGGUGGCGUUAGAGGUGAAAUUCUGAGAUCGUCGCCAGACAAACUACUGCGAAAGCAUUUGCCAAGGAUGUCUUCAUUAAUCAAGAACGAAAGUCAGAGGUUCGAAGACGAUCAGAUACCGACCUAGUUCUGACCAUAAACGAUGCCGACCUACAAUCGGGGGUGGUUUAUUAUAUUGACCCUCCCGGCUGUCCUCAGGAAACUUUAAGUUGGUUCUGGGGGGAAUAUGGUCUCAAGACUGAAACUUAAAGGAAUUGACGGAAGGGCACCACCAGGAGUGGAGCCUGCGGCUUAAUUUGACCCAACACGGGGAAUCUCACCCGGUCCGGACACUGGUAGGAUGGACAGAUUGAUAGCUCUUUCUUGAUUCAGUGGGUGGUGGUGCAUGGCCGUUCUUAGUUGGUGGAGUGAUUUGUCUGGUUAAUUCCGAUAACGAACGAGACUCUGUCCUGCUAAAUAGUCCAGUGGCAUCAAUCACUAUGUGAUUACAGCUGCUGUUACUUCUUAGAGGGAUUCGCGGAUUUAAACCGCAAGAAAUAGAGCAAUAACAGGUCUGUGAUGCCCUUAGAUGUCCGGGGCCGCACGCGCGCUACAUUGACAGUAGAAGCGAGUAUUUCUACCUGGUUCGAAAGAAUUGGGAAAUCUUCGAAUUACUGUCUCCACAGGGAUUGAGGUUUGCAAUUUUGCCUCAUGAACGAGGAAUUCCCAGUAGGCGCAAGUCAUCAGCUUGGUCGAUUACGUCCCUGCCCUUUGUACACACCGCCCGUCGCUACUACCGAUUGAGUGCAUUAGUGAGGACCUCGGAUUGAGAACAUAGUGGCGCAAGUUACUUUGUUUUCGAAAAGUGGUUCAAAUUUGUGCAUUUAGAGAUAGUAAAGGUCGU